This 422-nucleotide ribosomal RNA is filed under the name uncultured bacterium. RNAcentral describes it as "bacterial SSU rRNA". It matches the Rfam family "Bacterial small subunit ribosomal RNA", at positions 355 to 774 of the family's 1533-position model. The record is from RNAcentral.
UGAGGAAUAUUGGGCAAUGCUCGCAAGGGUGACCCAGCAACGCCGCGUGGAGGAUGAAUGUCGUAAGAUUGUAAACUCCUGUUAGAGGGGAAGAAUAGUACCGGUUGGACCGGUAUAUGACUGUACCCUCAGAGAAAGCCCCGGCUAACUACGUGCCAGCAGCCGCGGUAAUACGUAGGGGGCAAGCGUUGUCCGGAUUUACUGGGUGUAAAGGGUGCGCAGGCGGAUGGGUAAGUCAGGGGUGAAAGUCUGCAGCUUAACUGUAGAAUUGCCUUUGAUACUGCUCAUCUUGAGUGUGGGAGAGGUUGAUGGAAUUCCAGGUGUAGCAGUGAAAUGCGUAGAUAUCAAGAGGAACACCUGAGGCGAAGGCGGGUUGCUGGGCCGACACUGACGCUGAUGCGCGAAAGCCAGGGGAGCAAACG